GACGAACGCUGGCGGCGUGCUUAACACAUGCAAGUCGUGCGGUAAGGCCCUUUCGGGGGUACACGAGCGGCGAACGGGUGGGUAACACGUGAGCAACCUGCCCUUCACUUUGGUACAACUGCCGGAAACGGUGGCUAAUACCGGAUAUGACUUUCUCACGCAUGUGGGGUGGGGGGAAGCGUUCGGGUGGUGGUGGAUGGGCUCGCGGUCUAUCAGCUUGUGGGGGGGGUGAUGGCCUAGCAAGGCUUCGACGGGUAGCCGGCCUGACAGGGUGACCGGCCCCGCUGGGACUGAGGCGCGGCGCAGCAUCCUACGGGAGGCCGCAGUGGGGGAUAUUGUACAGUGGGCGAAAGCCUGAUCCAGCAACGCCGCGUGGGGGAUGACGGCCUUCGGGUUGUAAACCUCUUUCGCCUGCGACGAAGCGAGAGUGACGGUAGCAGGUAAAGAAGCGCCGGCCAACUACGUG
This 466-nucleotide ribosomal RNA is filed under the name uncultured bacterium. Its description in RNAcentral is "partial 16S ribosomal RNA". It matches the Rfam family "Bacterial small subunit ribosomal RNA", at positions 28 to 507 of the family's 1533-position model. The record is from RNAcentral.